CUCAGACGUGAGCACCCGCUGAACUUAAGCAUAU
RNAcentral lists this ribosomal RNA (34 nucleotides) under Pratylenchus kumamotoensis. Its description in RNAcentral is "partial 28S ribosomal RNA". The record is from RNAcentral. Lineage: Eukaryota; Metazoa; Nematoda; Chromadorea; Rhabditida; Pratylenchidae.